GAAAUGCGAUAAGUAGUGUGAAUUGCAGAAUUCAGUGAAUCAUCGAAUCUUUGAACACACAUUGCGCCCUUUGGUAUUCCUUAGGGCAUGCCUGUUCGAGCGUCAUUUAAACCUCCAAGCCCUGCUUGGUGUUGGGUGCCUGUCCCGCCCCCGCGCGUGGACUCACCUCAAAUCCAUUGGCGGCCCCCGCAUGGCCACGAGCGCAGCAGAAACGCAAACUCGUGUGCCGGACCGGGCGGCUCCCAGAAGCUACACUCACCAUUUUUGACCUCGGAUCAGGUAGGGAUACCCGCUGAACUCAAGC
Molecule: unclassified non-coding RNA, 304 nt
Filed under: plant metagenome
Description: partial contains 5.8S ribosomal RNA, internal transcribed spacer 2, and large subunit ribosomal RNA
Rfam family: 5.8S ribosomal RNA (bases 1-105)
Source: RNAcentral